This 286-nucleotide unclassified non-coding RNA is filed under the name Chaetomiaceae sp. Its description in RNAcentral is "partial contains 5.8S ribosomal RNA, internal transcribed spacer 2, and large subunit ribosomal RNA". The stretch from base 1 to 71 matches the Rfam family "5.8S ribosomal RNA", at positions 84 to 154 of the family's 154-position model. The record is from RNAcentral. Lineage: Eukaryota; Fungi; Ascomycota; Sordariomycetes; Sordariales; Chaetomiaceae.
GUGAAUCAUCGAAUCUUUGAACGCACAUUGCGCCCGCCAGUAUUCUGGCGGGCAUGCCUGUUCGAGCGUCAUUUCAACCAUCAAGCCCCGGGCUUGUGUUGGGGACCUGCGGCUGCCGCAGGCCCUGAAAACCAGUGGCGGGCUCGCUAGUCACUCCGAGCGUAGUAGUUACAUCUCGCUCAGGGCGUGCUGCGGGUUCCGGCCGUUAAAAGCCUUAUUUACCCAAGGUUGACCUCGGAUCAGGUAGGAAGACCCGCUGAACUUAAGCAUAUCAAUAAGCGGAGGA